RNAcentral lists this ribosomal RNA (253 nucleotides) under uncultured bacterium. RNAcentral's name for it is "partial 16S ribosomal RNA". It matches the Rfam family "Bacterial small subunit ribosomal RNA", at positions 524 to 776 of the family's 1533-position model. The record is from RNAcentral.
CACGUAGGGGGCAAGCGUUGUCCGGAUUUAUUGGGCGUAAAGGGCUCGUAGGCGGCCCACUAAGUCGGACGUGAAAUCCCUCGGCUUAACCGGGGAACUGCGUCCGAUACUGGCGGGCUUGAAUCCGGGAGAGGGAUGCGGAAUUCCAGGUGUAGCGGUGAAAUGCGUAGAUAUCUGGAGGAACACCGGUGGCGUAGGCGGCAUCCUGGACCGGCAUUGACGCUGAGGCGCGAAAGCCAGGGGAGCAAACGGG